Molecule: long non-coding RNA, 35528 nt
Filed under: Triticum aestivum (bread wheat)
Lineage: Eukaryota; Viridiplantae; Streptophyta; Magnoliopsida; Poales; Poaceae
Description: long non-coding RNA (TAES_LNC000510)
Source: RNAcentral
GGGACUUGCAAACUUCAACACAAGUAUUUCUCAAAUUCACAACUACUCAACUAGCACAACUUUAAUAUCACUACCUCCAUGUCUCAAAAUAAUCAUCAAGCAUCAAACUUCUCUUAGUAUUCAAAACAAUCAUAAGAAAGUUUUUACUAAUCUUGAAUACCUAGCAUAUUAGGAUUAUUUAAGCAAAUUACCAUGCUAUUUAAGACUCUCAAAAUAAUCUAAGUGAAGCAUUAGAGAUCAAUAGUUUCUAUAAAACAAAUCCAUCACAGUGCUCUAAAAGAUAUAAGUGAAGUACUAGAGCAAAAACUAUAUAACUCAAAAGAUAUAAGUGAAGCACAUAGAGUAUUCUAAUAAUUUCCGAAUCAUGUGUGUCUCUCUCAAAAGGUGUGUACAACAAAGAUGAUUGUGGUAAACUAAAAAAAAUAAAGACUCAAAUAAUACAAGACGCUCCAAGCAAAACACAUAUCAUGUGGUGAAUAAAAAUAUAGCUCCAAGUAAAGUUACCGAUGUAAGUAGACGAAAGAGGGGAUGCCUUCCGGGGCAUCCCCAAGCUUUGGCUUUUAGGUGUCCUUAGAUUAUCUUGGGGGUGCCAUGGGCAUCCCCAAGAUUAGGCUCGUGCCACUCCUUGUUCUAUAAUCCAUCAAAUCUUUCACCCAAAACUUCAAAACUUCACAACACAAAACUCAGCAGAAAAUCUCGUGAGCUCCGUUAGCGAAAGAAAACAAAAGACCACUUCAAGGUACUGUAAUGAACUCAUUCUUUAUUUAUAUUGGUGUUAAACCUACUGUAUUCCAACUUAUCUAUGGUUUAUAAACUAUUUUACUAGCCAUAGAUUCAUCAAAAUAAGCAAACAACACACGAAAAACAGAAUCUGUCAAAAACAGAACAGUCUGUAGUAAUCUGUAACUAACGCAAACUUCUGGAACUCCAAAACAUCAGCCAACAUAGGACGACCUAGAAAAUUUGUUUAUUGAUCAGCAGCAAUUGGAAUCAAUAUUUUAUAACGUUCUGGUGAUUUUUAACAAUUAUUUUCGUGAACAGAAAGUUUCUGGAAUUUUCUGCAAGAUCAAAUAACUAUCAUCCAAGAAGAUCCUAUAGGUUUAACUUGGCACAAACACUAAUUAAAACAUAAAAACACCUCUAACCAGAGGCUAGAACAAAUAUUUAUUCCUAAGCAGAAGCAAAAAGCAAAAACUAAAAAUAAAAUUGGGUUGGUUCCCAACAAGCGCUAUCGUUUAACGCCCCUAGCUAGUCAUAAAAGCAAUGAUAGAUCUAGGUAGUGCCAUGGUAAUAGGAUAGAUCAUUAAAACUCAUUUCAUAUUCUCUACGUUCAGCAGCAAGUUUCCUUUGAGGCAAGCAAAAGUAAUCAAAAGGGCUAAAUUUAAUGGGACAAAAGUCCCCAAGAUCAAUUUUAGGAGGUAUAGGUUCCUCCUUCGGCCCUUCGUAUUGCACAACCAAUUCAUCAUUAUAAGCAUUCUUUUGACAGAACUUUGUGAGCCUAUACUCGAGAGAAUAUCCUAGCUCAUUAUUUCGAAUAGCCAAAUCAUCAUUAAGUUCAGAAAUUCUAUCAACUAGAACAUUGGUAGGGACCUUUUUUCUAAGGUUUUCAUUGAAAGCAACAUAGUCUAGAGAUUGAAAACGCAUUAUUUCUUCUUGAUCAAAGAGGAUAGCCUCUAUGGGAGGACGGCCAGCGUCCACCCUAUAAUGCGCAAAGAUUUCUUUGGCCUCUUUUAUUAUAAAUCUGAACUCAUGAGCCAAAAAGAUAGUAGCGGCACGCUUAACAGAAGAAUGCUCUAUAUUAGAAAAUUCUAGGAAAAUCCUUUGUAUGCAAGGGUGCAUGUGCAUAAAUUGCCUUUCAAGUUCAACUAUAAGCAUGGCAAUAGCGUCCGCAAGACUACUAGUUCUAUGAAGAAUAGAACUGCCCAUAGAAGGCAAAGCACCGGCACAAGUAAAGAAAUCUUGAAUAACCCCUUUUCCAAUAAUAUUACCACUACCAAUUCGAAUUUUUUUUGUAUGCAAGGUAGGGGGUUCUUCAGCAGGAGCAUCAGAAUUUUCCAUGAUAUUAUUAUUGUCCAUAUCGACAAUAAUUUCCCAAAUUUCAGACAUAACGGCAGAAAGAGCGAGGGGAAACAGGAAAGAAGAAGGCGGACGGAAAAGAGAGGGCGAAUAAAACGGCAAGGGUGAAGUGGGGGAGAGGAAAACGAGAGGCAAAUGGCAAAUAAUGUAAUGCGGGAGAUAAGGGUUUGUGAUGGGUACUUGGUAUGUUGACUUUUGCGUAGGCCUCCCCGGCAACGGCGCCAGAAAUCCUUCUUGCUACCUCUUGAGCACUGCGUUGGUUUUCCCUUGAAGAGGAAAGGGUGAUGCAGUAAAGCAGCGUAAGUAUUUCCCUCAGUUUUUGAGAACCAAGGUAUCAAUCCAGUAGGAGGCCACGCACGAGUCCCUCGCACCUACACAAAUAAAUAAAUCCUCGCAACCAACGCAAUAAAGGGGUUGUCAAUCCCUUCACGGUCACUUACGAGAGUGAGAUCUGAUAGAUAUGAUAAGAUAAUAUUUUUGGUAUUUUUAUGAUAAAGAUGCAAAGUAAAAUAAAAGGCAAUAAAAAUAGCUAAGUGUUGGAAGAUUAAUAUGAUGGAAGAUAGACCCGGGGGCCAUAGGUUUCACUAGUGGCUUCUCUCGAGAGCAUAAGUAUUACGGUGGGUGAACAAAUUACUGUUGAGAAAUUGACAUAAUUGAGCAUAGUUAUGAGAAUAUCUAGGUAUGAUCAUGUAUAUAGGCAUCACGUCCGAGACAAGUAGACCGACUCCUGCCUGCAUCUACUACUAUUACUCCACACAUCGACCGCUAUCCAGUAUGCAUCUAGAGUAUUAAGUUCAUAGAACAGAGUAAUUCUUUAAGCAAGAUGACAUGAUGUAGAGGGAUAAACUCAUGCAAUAUGAUAUAAACCCCAUCUUGUUAUCCUCGAUGGCAACAAUACUAUACGUGCCUUGCUGCCCCUACUGUCACUGGGAAAGGACACCGCAAGAUUGAACCCAAAGCUAAGCACUUCUCCCAUUGCAAGAAAGAUCAAUCUAGUAGGCCAAACAAAACUGAUAAUUCGAAGAGACUUGCAAAGAUAACCAAUCAUACAUAAAAGAAUUCAGAAGAUUCAAAUAUUGUUCAUAGAUAAACUUGAUCAUAAACCCACAAUUCAUCAGUCUCAACAAACACACCGCAAAAGAAGAUUACACCGAAUAGAUCUCCACAAGAGAGGGGGAGAACAUUGUAUUGAGAUACAAAAAGAGAGAGGAAGCCAUCUAGCUAAUAACUAUGGACCCGAAGGUCUGAGGUAAACUACUCACACAUCAUCGGAGAGGCUAUGGUGAUGAUGUAGAAGCCCUCCGUGAUGGAUGCCCCCUCCGGCGGAGCUCCAGAACAGGCCCCAAGAUGGGAUCUCGUGGGUACAAAAGGUUGCGGCGGUGGAAUUAGGUUUUUGGCUCCAUAUCUGAUCGUUUGGGGGUAUGUAGGUAUAUAUAGGAGGAAGGAGUACGUCGAUGGAGCAACAGGGGGCCCACGAGGGUGGAGGGCGCGCCCUGGGGAGGUGGGCGUGCCCCCUACCUCGUGGCCUCCUCUUUUGUUUCUUGACGUAGGGUCCAAGUCCUCUGGAUCAUGUUCGUUCCGAAAAUCACGUUCCCAAAGGUUUCAUUCCGUUUGGACUCCGUUUGAUAUUCUUUUUCUGCGAAACUCUGAAAUAGGCAAAAAAAAUAGCAAUUCUAGGCUGGGCCUCCGGUUAAUAGGUUAGUCCCAAAAAUAAUAUAAAAGUGUAUAAUAAAGCCCAAUAAUGUCCAAAACAGAUUAUAAUAUAGCAUGGAGCAAUCAAAAAUUAUAGAUACGUUGGAGACGUAUCAUUGGGAACAACUAACUUCUGAUCCUAUUUCUUUCAAGUAUCGUAUCAGCUAUUUCUUUUCUUUCCCUUCCUAUUUCUUUUAGUUUGUGUCCUGUCCGGUAUUGGGCUGCCCGUCACUGUAGUGUUCGACGCGAUAGAUUGUUGGGAGCAACUAACGAACGAGUACUCCUUCGCAAGCCCUGCAAUUGACACCUGGGGUGGGCUGAGAGCGCGUCACUUCUUGUCCGCUAUUUCUUUUCUUUCUCUUCCUAUUUCUUUUAAGUGUCCCGUCCGCUAUUGGGCUGGCCUGUUAUUGUAGCGUUCGACGCGAGUGAUCGUUGGGAGCAACUGAAGGAAAUAUGCCCUAGAGGCAAUAAUAAAGUUGUUAUUUAUAUUUCCUUAUAUCAUGAUAAAUGUUUAUUAUUCAUGCUAGAAUUGUAUUAACCGGAAACUUAGUACAUGUGUGAAUACAUAGACAAAACAGAGUGUCCCUAGUAUGCCUCUACUUGACUAGCUCGUUAAUCAAAGAUGGUUAAGUUUCCAGACCAUAGACAUGUGUUGUCAUUUGAUGAACGGGAUCACAUCAUUAGAGAAUGAUGUGAUGGACAAGACCCAUCCGUUAGCUUAGGAUAAUGAUCGUUUAGUUUUAUUGCUAUUGCUUUCUUCAUGACUUAUACAUGUUCCUUUGACUAUAAGAUUAUGCAACUCCCGAAUACCGGAGGAACACCUUGUGUGCUAUCAAACGUCACAACAUAAUUGGGUGAUUAUAAAGAUGCUCUACAGGUGUCUCGGAAGGUGUUUGUUGGGUUGGCAUAGAUCAAGAUUAAGAUUUGUCACUCCGUGUAUCGGAGAGGUAUCUCUGGGCCCUCUCGGUAAUGCACAUCACUAUAAGCCUUGCAAGCAAUGUGACUAAUGAGUUAGUUGCGGGAUGAUGCAUUACGGAACGAUUAAAGAGACUUGCCGGUAACGAGAUUGAACUAGGUAUGAUGAUACCGACGAUCGAAUCUCGGGCAAGUAACAUACCGAUGACAAAGGGAAUGACGUAUAUUGUUAUGCGGUUUGACCAAUAAAGAUCUUCGUAGAAUAUGUAGGAGCCAAUAUGAGCAUCGAGGUUCCGCUAUUGGUUAUUGACCGGAGAUGUGUCUCGGUCAUGUCUACAUAGUUCUCGAACCCGUAGGGUCCGCAUGCUUAACGCUCGAUGACGAUUUGUAUUAUGAGUUAUGUGUUUUGGUGACCGAAGUUUGUUCGGAGUCCCGGAUGAGACCACAGACAUGACGAGGAGUCUCGAAAUGGUCGAGAGGUAAAGAUUGAUAUAUUGGAAGGUUAUAUGGACACCGAAAUGGUUCUGAAGAAGAUCAGGGAUUUUUCGGAGUAACGGGAGGUUACCGGAACCCCCCGGGAAAGUUAAUGGGCCUCAUGGGCCAUAGUGGAGAGGAGGAGUCAACCACAGGAGGUGGCGCAUGCUCCCCCAAGCCCAAUCCGAAUUGGACAAGGGGUGGGGGCGCGGCCCCCUUGUCCUCUCCCUCUCCACCUCUUCCCCCUUUCCCCCUCCGUUGGAAGGAAGGAGGGGGGGGGCGAAUCCUACUUGGACUGGGAGUCCAAGUAGGACUCCCCCUUGGCGCGCCCCUCCUUGGCCGCCGGUGUUGGGGAACGUAGUAAUUUCAAAAAAAAUCCUACGCACACACAGGAUCAUGGUGAUGCAUAGCAACGAGAGGGGAGAGUGUGUCCACGUACCCUCGUAGACCGAGAGCGGAAGCGUUAGCACAACACGGUUGAUGUAGUCGUACGUCUUCACGAUCCGACCGAUCCAAGUACCGAACGCACGUCACCUCUGAGUUCAACACACAUUCAGCUCGAUGACGUCCCGCGAGCUCCGAAUCCAGCAAAGCUUCGCCGGAGAGUUUCGUCAGCACGACGGCGUGAUGACGGUGAUGAUGAUGCUACCAACGGAGGGCUUCGCCUAAGCACCGCUAUGAUAUGAUCGAGGUGGAUUAUGGUGGAGGGAGGCACCGCACAUGGCUGGGAGAGAUCAACAUAUCAACUUGUGUGUCUAGAGGUGCCCCCCUGCCCCUGUAUAUGAAGGAGCAAGGGGGAGGCCGGCCGGCCCCUGUAGGGCGCGCCAGGAGGAGGAGUCCUCCUCCUAGUAGGAGUAGGACUCCCCUCUUUCCUACUCCUACUAGGAGGGGGAAAGGAAGGGGGAGAGGGAGAUGAAAAGGGGGGCGCCGCCCCCCUCUCCUAGUCCAAUUCGGACCAGAGGGGGAGGGGCGCGCGACCUGCCCUAGNNNNNNNNNNNNNNNNNNNNNNNNNNNNNNNNNNNNNNNNNNNNNNNNNNNNNNNNNNNNNNNNNNNNNNNNNNNNNNNNNNNNNNNNNNNNNNNNNNNNNNNNNNNNNNNNNNNNNNNNNNNNNNNNNNNNNNNNNNNNNNNNNNNNNNNNNNNNNNNNNNNNNNNNNNNNNNNNNNNNNNNNNNNNNNNNNNNNNNNNNNNNNNNNNNNNNNNCUCUCCACUAAGGCCCAUAAGGCCCACUAUUUCUCUCGGGGGGGGGGGGUUCCGGCACUCCGGUUUUCUCCGAAACCACCCGGAACACUUCCGGUGUCCGAAUAUAGUCGUCCAAUAUAUUGAUCUUUAUGUCUCAACCAUUUCGAGACUCCUCGUCAUGUCCGUGAUCAUAUCCGGUACUCCGAACUACCUUAGGUACAUCAAAAUACAAAAACUCAUAAUACCGAUCGUCACCGAACUUUAAGCGUGACACGUCUCCGGCCAAUAACCAAUAGCGGAACCUGGAUGCUCAUAUUAGCUCCCACAUAUUCUAUGAAGAUCUUUAUCGGUCAAACCGCAUAACAACAUACGUUGUUCCCUUUGUAAUCGGUAUGUUACCUGCCCGAGAUUCGAUCGUCAGUAUCUCAAUACCUAGCUCAAUGUUGUUACCGGCAAGUCUCUUUACUCGUUACGUAAUGCAUCAUCCCGCAACUAACUCAUUAGUCACAUUGCUUGCAAGGCUUAUUGUGAUGUGCAUUACAGAGAGGGCCCAGAGAUACCUCUCUGACAAUCGGAGUGACAAAUCCUAAUCUCGAUCUAUGCCAACUCAACAAGUACCAUCAGAGACACCUGUAGAGCACCUUUAUAAUCACCCAGUUACGUUGUGAUGUUUGGUAGCACACAAAGUGUUCCUCCGGUAAUCGGGAGUUGCAUAAUCUCAUAGUCAUAGGAACAUGGAUAAGUCAUGAAGAAAGCAAUAGCAGUAAACUAAACGAUCAAGUGCUAAGCUAAUAGAAUGGGUCAAGUCAAUCACAUCAUUCUCCUAAUGAUGUGAUCCCGUUAAUCAAAUGACAACUCAUGUCUAUGGUUUAGGAAACUCAACCAUCUUUGAUUAAGGAGCUAGUCAAGUAGAGGCAUACUAGUGACACUAUGUUUGUCUAUGUAUUCACACAUGUAUUAUUUUUCCCGGUUAAUACAAUUCUAGCAUGAAUAAUAAACAUUUAUCAUGAUAUGAGGAAAUAAAUAAUACCUUUACUAUUGCCUCUAGGGCAUAUUUCCUUCAGUCUCCCACUUGCACUAGAGUUAGUAAUCUAGAUUACACAGUAAUGAUUCUAACACCCAUGGAGUUUUGGUGCUGAUCAUGUUUUGCUCGUGGAAGAGUCUUUGUCAACGGGUCUGCAACAUUCAGAUCCGUAUGUAUCCUGCAAAUCUCUAUGUCUCCCACCUGGACUUGAUCCCGGAUGGAAUUGAAGCGUCUCUUGAUGUGCUUGGUUCUCUUGUGAAAUCUGGAUUCCUUUGCCAAGGCAAUUGCACUAGUAUUGUCACAAAUGAUUUUCAUUGGUCCCGAUGCACUAGGUAUGACACCUAGAUCGGAUAUGAACUCCUUCAUCCAGACUCCUUCAUUUGCUGCUUCCGAAGCAGCUAUGUAUUCCGCUUCACACGUAGAUCCCGCCACGACGCUUUGUUUAGAACUGCACCAACUGACAGCUCCACCGUUCAAUGUAAUCCGGUUUGCGAUUUAGAAUCGUCCAGAUCAGUGUCAAAGCUUGCAUCAAUGUAACCAUUUACGACUAGCUCUUUGUCACCUCCAUAAACGAGAAACAUAUCCUUGGUCCUUUUCAGGUAUUUCAGGAUGUUCUUGACCGCUGUCCAGUGAUCCACUCUUGGAUUACUUUGGUACCUCCCUGCUAAGCUAAUAGCAAGGCACACAUCAGGUUUGGUACACACCAUUGCAUACAUCAUAGAGCCUAUGGCUGAAGCAUAGGGAACAUCUUUCAUUUUCUCUCUAUCUUCUGCAGUGGUCGGGCAUUGAGUCUGACUCAAUUUCACACCUUGUAACAUAGGCAAGAACCCUUUCUUUGCUUGAUCCAUUUUGAACUUUUUCAAAACUUUGUCAAGGUAUGUGCUUUGUGUAGAUCUAUCUCUAUAGAUCUUGAUGCCCAAUAUGUAAGCAACUUCACCGAGGUCUUUCAUUGAAAAACUCUUAUUCAAGUAUCCCUUUAUGCUAUCCAGAAAUUCUAUAUCAUUUCCAAUCAGCAAUAUGUCAUCCACAUAUAAUAUCAGAAAUGCUACAGAGCUCCCACUCACUUUCUUGUAAAUACAUGCUUCUCCAAAAGUAUGUAUAAUACAUAUGCUUUGAUCGCACUAUCAAAACGUUUAUUCCAACUCCGAGAGGCUUGCACCAGUCCAUAAAUGGAUCGCUAGAGCUUGCACACUUUGUUAGCUCCCUUUGGAUCUACAAAACCUUCCGGUUGCAUCAUAUACAACUCUUCUUCUAGAAAUCCAUUCAGGAAUGCAGUUUUGACAUCCAUUUGUCAAAUUUCAUAAUCAUAAAAUGCGGCAAUUGCUAACAUGAUUCGGACAGACUUAAGCAUCGCUCCGGGUGAGAAAGUCUCAUCAUAGUCAACCCCUUGAACUUGUCGAAAACCUUUUGCAACAAGUCGAGCUUUCUAGACAGUAACAUUACCGUCAGCGUCAGUCUUCUUCUUGAAGAUCCAUUUAUUCUCUAUGGCUUGCCGAUCAUCGGGCAAGUCAACUAAAGUCCACACUUUGUUCUCAUACAUGGAUCCCAUCUCAGAUUUCAUGGCCUCAAGCCAUUUUGCAAAAUCUGGGUUCACCAUCGCUUCUUCAUAGUUCGUAGGUUCGCCUUGGUCAAGCAACAUGACCUCCAGAAUAGGAUUACCAUACCACUCUGGUGCGGAUCUUACUCUGGUUGACCUACGAGGUUUGGUAGUAACUUGAUCUGAAGUUACAUGAUCAUCAUCAUUAGCUUCCUCACUAAUUGGUGUAGGAGUCACAGGAACAGAUUUCUAUGAUGAACUACUUUCCAAUAAGGGAGCAGGUACAAUUACCUCAUCAAGUUCUACUUUCCUCCCACUCACUUCUUUUGAGAGAAACUCCUUCUCUAGAAAUGAUCCAUUCUUAGCAACAAAUGUCUUGCCUUUGGAUCUGUGAUAGAAGGUGUACCCAAUAGUUUCCUUUGGGUAUCCUAUGAAGACACAUUUCUCCGAUUUGGGUUCGAGCUUAUCAGGUUGAAGCUUUUUCACAUAAGCAUCGCAGCCCCAAACUUUAAGAAACGACAACUUUGGUUUCUUGCCAAACCAUAGUUCAUAAGGCGUCGUCUCAACGGGUUUCAAUGGUGCCCUAUUUAACGUGAAUGGAGCCGUCUCUAAAGCAUAACCCCAAAACGGUAGUGGUAAAUCAGUAAGAGACAUCAUAGAUCGCACCAUAUCCAGUAAAGUACGAUUACGAUGUUCGGACACACCAUUACGUUGUGGUGUUCCGGGUGGCAUGAGUUGCGAAACUAUUCCGCAUUGUUUCAAAUGUAGACCAAACUCGUAACUCAAAUAUUCUCCUCCACGAUCCGAUCAUAGAAAUUUUAUUUUCUUGUUACGAUGAUUUUCCACUUCACUCUGAAAUUCUUUGAACUUUUCAAAUGUUUCAGACUUAUGUUUCAUUAAUUAGAUAUACCCAUAUCUGCUUAAAUCAUCUGUGAAGGUGAGAAAAUAACGAUACCCGCCGCGAGCCUCAAUAUUCAUCGGACCACAUACAUCAGUAUGUAUGAUUUCCAACAAAUCUGUUGCUCGCUCCAUUGUUCCGGAGAACGGUGUUUUAGUCAUCUUGCCCAUGAGGCAUGGUUCGCAAGUACCAAGUGAUUCAUAAUCAAGUGAUUCCAAAAGUCCAUCAGUAUGGAGUUUCUUCAUGCGCUUUACACCAAUAUGACCCAAACGGCAGUGCCACAAAUAAGUUGCACUAUCAUUAUCAACUCUGCAUCUUUUGGCUUUCAACAUUAUGAAUAUGUGUAUCACUACUAUCGAGAUUCAUCACAAAUAGACCACUCUUCAAGGGUGCAUGACCAUAAAAGAUAUUACUCAUAUAAAUAGAACAACCAUUAUUCUCAGAUUUAAAUGAAUGAUCGUCUCACAUCAAACAAGAUCCAGAUAUAAUGUUCAUGCUUAACGCUGGCACCAAAUAACAAUUAUUUAGGUCUAAAACUAAUCCCGAAGGUAGAUGUAGACGUAGCAUGCCGACGGCGAUCACAUCGACUUUGGAACCAUUUCCCACGCGCACCGUCACCUCGUCCUUAGCCAGUCUUCGCUUAAUCCGUAGUCCCUGUUUCGAGUUGCAAAUAUUAGCAAUAGAACCAGUAUCAAAUACCCAGGUGCUACUACGAGCUCUAGUAAGGUACACAUCAAUAACAUGUAUAUCACAUAUACCUUUGUUCACCUUGCCAUACUUAUUAUCCGCCAAAUACUUGGGGCAGUUCCGCUUCCAGUGACCAGUCUGUUUGCAGUAGAAGCACUCAGUCUCAGGCUUAGGUCCAGACUUGGGUUUCUUCUCUUGAGCAGCAACUUGUUUGCUGUUCUUCUUGAAGUUCCCCUUCUUCUUCCCUUUACCCUUUUUCUUGAAACUGGUGGUCUUGUUGACCAUCAACACUUGAUGCUCCUUCUUGAUUUCUACCUCCGCAGCCUUUAGCAUUGCGAAGAGCUCGGGAAUUGUCUUAUCCAUCCCUUGCAUAUUAUAGUUCAUCACGAAGCUCUUGUAGCUUGGUGGCAGUGAUUGAAGAAUUCUGUCAAUGACACUAUCAUCCGGAAGAUUAACUCCCAGUUCAAUCAAGUGAUUGUUAUACCCAGACAUUUUGAGUAUAUGUUCACUGACAGAACUAUUCUCCUCCAUUUUGCAGCUGUAGAACUUAUUGGAGACUUCAUAUCUCUCAAUCCGGGCAUUUGCUUGAAAUAUUAGCUUCAACUCCUGGAACAUCUCAUAUGCUCCAUGACGUUCAAAACGUCGUUGAAGCCCCGGUUCUAAGCCGUAAAGCAUGGCACACUGAACUUUGAGUAGUCAUCAGCUUUGCUCUGCCAGACGUUCUUAACGUCGUCAGUUGCAUCUGCAGCAGGCCUGGCACCCAGCGGUGCUUCCAGGACGUAAUUCUUCUGUGCAGCAAUGAGAAUAAUCCUCAACUUUGCUUUCUCAAGGAAUGCAUUAAAAUUCAACGGGACAACAGCACGGCCAUCUUUCUACAACAACAUAGACAAGCAAAAUACUAUCAGGUACUAAGUUCAUGAUAAAUUUAAGUUCAAUUAAUCAUAUUACUUAAGUACUCCCACUUAGAUAGACAUCCAUCUAAUCAUCUAAGUGAUCACGUGAUCCAUAUCAACUAAACCAUAACCGAUCAUCACGUGAAAUGGAGUAGUUUUCAAUGGUGAACAUCACUAUGUUGAUCAUAUCUACUAUAUGAUCCACGCUCGACCUUUCGGUCUCAGUGUUCCGAGGCCAUAUCUGCAUAUGCUAGGCACGUCAAGUUUAACCCGAGUAUUCUGCGUGUGUAAAGCUGUCUUACACCGGUUGUAGAUGAACGUUGAGCUUAUCACACCCGAUCAUCACGUGGUGUCUCGGCACGACGAACUUUGGCAAUGGUGCAUACUCAGGGAGAACACUUUUACCUUGAAAUUUAGUGAGAGAUCAUCUUAUGAUGCUACCAUCAAACAAAGCAGAAUAAGAUGCAUAAAGGAUAAACAUCACAUGCAAUCAAUAUAAGUGAUAUGAUAUGGCGAUCAUCAUCUUGUGCCUUUGAUCUCCAUCUCCAAAGCACCGUCAUGAUCACCAUCGUCACCGGCGCGACACCUUGAUCACCAUCGUAGCAUCAUUGUCGUCUCGCCAACUAUUGCUUCUACGACUAUCGCUACCGCUUAGUGAUAAAGUAAAGCAAUUACAGGGCGAUUGCAUUGCAUACAAUAAAGCGACAACCAUAUGGCUCCUGCCAGUUGCCGAUAACUCCGUUAUAAAACAUGAUCAUCUCAUACAAUAAAUUUAGCAUCAUGUCUUGACCAUAUCACAUCACAACAUGCCCUGCAAAAACAAGUUAGACGUCCUCUACUUUGUUGUUGCAAGUUUUACGUGGCUGCUACGGGCUGAGCAAGAACCGUUCUUACCUACGCAUCAAAACCACAACGAUAGUUCGUCAAGUUAGUGCUGUUUUAACCUUCUCAAGGACCGGGCGUAGCCACACUCGGUUCAACUAAAGUUGGAGAAACUGACACCCGCCAGCCACCUAUGUGCAAAGCACGUCGGUAGAACCAGUCCCGCGUAAGCGUAUGCGUAAUGUCGGUCCGGGCCGCUUCAUCCAACAAUACCGCCGAACCAAAGUAUGACAUGCUGGUAAGCAGUAUGACUUGUAUCGCCCACAACUCACUUGUGUUCUACUCGUGCAUAUAACAUCUACCCAUAAACCUGGCUCUGAUACCACUGUUGGGGAACGUAGUAAUUUCAAAAAAAAUCCUAAGCACACAGAGGAUCAUGGUGAUGCAUAGCAACGAGAGGGGAGAGUGUAUCCACGUACCCUCGUAGACCGAAAGCGGAAGCGUUAGCACAACGCGGUUGAUGUAGUCGUACGUCUUCACGAUCCGACCGAUCCAAGUACCGAACGCACGGCACCUCCGAGUUUAGCACACGUUCAGCUCGAUGACGUCCCGCGAGCUCCGAAUCCAGCAAAGCUUCGCCGGAGAGUUUCGUCAGCAUGACGGCGUGAUGACGGUGAUGAUGACGCUACCGAUGCAGGGCUUCGCCUAAGCACCGCUACGAUAUGAUCGAGGUGGAUUAUGGUGGAGGGGAGCACCGCACACGGCUGGGAGAGAUCAACAGAUCAACUUGUGUGUCUAGAGGUGCCCCCUGCCCCCGUAUAUAAAGGAGCAAGGGGGAGGCCGGCCGGUCCCUGUAGGGCGCGCCAAGAGGAGGAGUCAUCCUCCUAGUAGGAGUAGGACUCCCCUCUUUCCUACUCCUACUAGGAGGGGGAAAGGAAGGGGGAGAGGGAGAAGGAAAGUGGGGCGCCGCCCCCCCUUUCCUAGUCCAAUUCGGACCAGAGGGGGAGGGGCGCGCGGCCUGCCCUAGGCCAGCUCUCUCUCUCCACUAAGGCCCAUAAGGCCCACUAUUUCUCCCGGGGGGGUUCCGGUAACCCUCCGGCACUCCGGUUUUCUCCGAAACCACCCGGAACACUUCUGGUGUCCGAAUAUAGUCGUCCAAUAUAUCAAUCUUUACGUCUCGACCAUUUUGAGACUCCUCGUCAUGUCUGUGAUCAUAUCCGGGACUCCGAACGACCUUCGGUACAUCAAAAUACAAAAACUCAUAAUACCGAUCGUCACCGAACUUUAAGCGUGCGGACCCUACGGGUUCGAGAACUAUGUAGACAUGACCGAGACACGUCUCCGGCCAAUAACCAAUAGCGGAACCUGGAUGCUCAUAUUGGCUCCCACAUAUUCUACAAAGAUCAUUAUCGGCCAAACCGCAUAACAACAUACGUUAUUCCCUUUGUCAUCAGUAUGUUACUUGCCCGAGAUUCGAUCGUCGGUAUCUCAAUACCUAGCUCAAUCUCGUUACCGGCAAGUCUCUUUACUCGUUACGUAAUGCAUCAUCCCGCAACUAACUCAUUAGUCACAUUGCUUGCAAGGCUUAUUGUGAUGUGCAUUACCGAGAGGGCCCAGAGAUACCUCUCCGAUAAUCGGAGUGACAAAUCCUAAUGUCAAUCUAUGCCAACUCAACAAGUACCAUCGGAGACACCUGUAGAGCACCUUUAUAAUCACCCAGUUACGUUGUGACGUUUGGUAGCACACAAAGUGUUCCUUCGGUAAUCGGGAGUUGCAUAAUCUCAUAGUCAUAGGAACAUGUAUAAGUCAUGAAGAAAGCAAUAGCAGUAAACUAAACGAUCAAGUGCUAAGCUAACAGAAUGGGUCAAGUCAAUCACAUCAUUCUCCUAAUGAUGUGAUCCCGUUAAUCAAAUGACAACUCAUGUCUAUGGUUUAGGAAACUCAACCAUCUUUGAUUAACGAGCUAGUCUAGAGGCAUACUAGUGACACUAUGUUUGUCUAUGUAUUCACACAUGUAUUAUGUUUCCCGGUUAAUACAAUUCUAGCAUGAAUAAUAAACAUUUAUCAUGAUAUGAGGAAAUAAAUAAUAGCUUUAUUAUUGCCUCUAGGGCAUAUUUCCUUCAGCCGGCCUCCUCCUCCCCCCUUUAUAUAUGGGGGCGGGGGAACCCCGAAGACACACCAAGAUUUGUCUUAGCCAUGUGCGGUGCCCCCCCUCCACAGUUUACUCCUCCGGUCAUAGCGUCGUAGUGCUUAGGCGAAGCCCUGAGCGGAUCACAUCACCAUCACCGUCACCAUGCCGUCGUGCUGACAAAACUCUCCCUGGACCCUCUACUGGAUCAAGAGCUCGAGGGACGUCAUCAAGCUAAACAUGUGCUGAACACGGAGGUGCCAUACGUUCGGUACUUGGAUCGGUUGGAUCGUGAAUAGGUUCGACUACAUCAACCGCGUUAACCUAACGCUUCCGCUUUCGGUCUACGAGGGACGUGGACACACUCUCCCCCUAUCGUUGCUAUGCAUCUCCUAGGUAGAUCUUGCGUGAGUGUAGGAAUUUUUUUGAAAUUGCAUGCUAUGUUCCCAACAGUGGCAUCCGAGCCAGGUCUAUGCGUAGAUGAUAUGCACGAGUAGAACACAAAGAGUUGUGGGAGAUAAUAGUCAUACUGCUUACCACCAACGUCUUACUUUGAUUUGGCGGUAUUGUUGGAUGAAGCGGCUUGGACCGAUAUUACAUGACCACGUUCAUGAGACUGGUUCUACCGACGUGCUUCGCACACAGGUGGCUGGCGGGUGUCUGUUUCUCCAACUUUAGUUGAAUCGAGUUUGACUACGGCCGGUCCUUGUUGAAGGUUAAAACAACACACUUGGCGAAAAAUCGUUGUGGUUUUGAUGCAUAGGUAAGAACGGUUCUUGCUAGAAGCCCGUAGCAGCCACAUAAAACUUGCAACAAUAAAGUAGAGGUCGUCUAACUUGUUUUUGCAGGGCAUGUUGUGAUGUGAUAUGGUCAAGACGUGAUGAAAUAUAAAUUGUUGUAUGAGAUGAUCAUGUUUUGUAUAAGUUAUCGGCAACUGGCAGGAUCCUUAUGGUUGUCGCUUUAUUGUAUGAAAUGCAAUCGCCAUGUUAUUGCUUUACUUUAUCACUAAGCGGGAGCGAUAGUCGUGGAAGCAAUAGUUGGCGAGACGACAACGACGCUACAAUGCAGAUCAAGGUGUCAAGCCGGUGACGAUGGAGAUCAUGACGGUGCUUUGGAGAUGGGGAUCAAAGGCACAAGAUGAUGAUGUCCAUAUCAUGUCACAUAUUUUGAUUGCAUGUGAUGUUUAUCCUUUAUGCAUCUUAUUUUGCUUAGUACGGCGGUAGCAUUAUAAGAUGACCCCUCACUAAAUUUCAAGGUAUAAGUGUUCUCCCUGAGUAUUGUAACAUCCCAAAUUUUCAAUUUGGUAUGUUAUACAUAGAUCAUCAUUGCAUAUCAUAUUUUAUUGCAUUUUGACAAAUCCUCGAUAAAUCCUAAGCAACUCAAGGACCCUCGAAGAGAGUUGGGGAUUUUCUCGAAUUUUCAUAUUUGAUUUCCAUCAAAUAAUAAAACGAGGAUUUUGGUUUUAAUUAUUUUUUCUCCGGAAAAAUAUUUCAUUUUAAAAAUAAACGAGAGGAGAAAAUAUGACUUCUCCAAAACAAUUGAAAUAUUGGAGGAAAAGUGUUAAAAUCAUUUAUUGGAAUUUAUUUGGAUUUUAUUUGCAAUUUUGAUUGCAUUAAAAAUAUUGCAUGUUUUCAAAAAUUAUUUUUGUGUGAAAAAAAUGUUCACCCUAUUCUAGAUUUUCUAACUAGACGGGGAAAAUUUGUUUUUUUGGAUUUUUAUUUAUUUUUCUACGAAUUUUUCAGCGGAACGUUUUAAAAAAAAAUGCACCGCGCCCGACUGGGCCGAGGCCCAGCCGAGCCAGGCCGGCCAGCCCGCGCCGUCUCCUUCCCCAGCACGACGCCGCCGCCGCCGGAGUNNNNNNNNNNNNNNNNNNNNNNNNNNNNNNNNNNNNNNNNNNNNNNNNNNNNNNNNNNNNNNNNNNNNNNNNNNNNNNNNNNNNNNNNNNNNNNNNNNNNNNNNNNNNNNNNNNNNNNNNNNNNNNNNNNNNNNNNNNNNNNNNNNNNNNNNNNNNNNNNNNNNNNNNNNNNNNNNNNNNNNNNNNNNNNNNNNNNNNNNNNNNNNNNNNNNNNNNNNNNNNNNNNNNNNNNNNNNNNNNNNNNNNNNNNNNNNNNNNNNNNNNNNNNNNNNNNNNNNNNNNNNNNNNNNNNNNNNNNNNNNNNNNNNNNNNNNNNNNNNNNNNNNNNNNNNNNNNNNNNNNNNNNNNNNNNNNNNNNNNNNNNNNNNNNNNNNNNNNNNNNNNNNNNNNNNNNNNNNNNNNNNNNNNNNNNNNNNNNNNNNNNNNNNNNNNNNNNNNNNNNNNNNNNNNNNNNNNNNNNNNNNNNNNNNNNNNNNNNNNNNNNNNNNUUUGUUUUAAAAAAAACCGUUCGUUUAAAAAAAACCCUAGAUCUGUUUUUUUCGGUUUUGUUAUUUUGUGAGCGUUCACCGACUCGUUCGUUUUAACGAACGCGUUCGUCGGAUUUUCUCUGUUAACGAACGUCCGUUCUUUAACCGUUCGUCCGUUUUUCUUUUUCGUCGGAUUUUUCCGCGAUUAUCUCAGAUCUCGAUUUCUGAUCGAAUCUUCGUUUCUGUUUAACUUUUCGCUCGUUUAUCGGAAUCAGGCGAUUCAAGCGCCUAGAGUUUCGUCUCGAAAUUCUCUUUCCGUGUAACCUACUCAAACAAGUUUUUGCUACUAUAAAAUUUGACCUAGAUCCAGAUUAGUAAAUGAAUCUUGUUUCUUUCGCCGUUUGACUUUCGUUGCUUCGAUCGAGUUGAUUCUUUUUGCAAACCGGAGUUCUUAAGUUGAACUUUCUGGUUGGAUCUUUCAUUCGAGUUUUACCUGUGCAUUAGAUGAGUACUGAUUGUCUGCUUGUUUGUUUGCGAUAGAGUACCCAGAGUGUGCCGCUUGUUACUUCGAAUCGCUAGGUUUCGCGGAUCAUCGGCAAGGCAAGUAACACUUUGAUCAUACUUUCCAUACCCAGUUUUAUUGCAUUAGAUCUAUUCCUCAAACGCUUGCAUGAUUAGGAUCUAAUUAAAUUGUGGGAAUUGGGAAGUAGUUGAGGUAGUACCUAUUACCUGUUCUCUUAUCAAACCCUUGGGAGUUACUUCUACGUUGCUAUUAUAUUGCCAUGCUAUGCUCGUAGACGUGGAUUGGGUUUGAGAGAUAUUCAUGACAGAUGUGAGAUUGUUAAUAAUGGUUUACCUAAGGUGGCAACUAAAACUCACAUCUGGGUGGAUUGAGGCACCUGGAGAAUCCAGUGUUGUCUGUUUGUAUAAGGACCGCCACCCAGGCUCAAAGGGAUCAUAAGAUUAUUCAUGCUAGAAACUUCCAUGUGCAGCCACAAGCUAUUAUGGGCUCCAGCAUAGUUGAGUAGGUUACAUGAUCUCUUGAAGAGGUGGGCUAGCAGAUGUAGGGGAAAGUAGGUGUACCGGUCCACCCGGAGUAAAGAGUGAUUGUUCCUGAAAGACUGUGUCUCGGUCAUCCGUUUCUCAAACAUCAUGCAGUGCGAGAAUCAAGCGGAGGCGAUCGAGUCUUGUGGGGAAAAGUGCGCAAACCUCUGCAGAGUGUACAAACUAAUCAUGGUUAGCCGUGUCCCCGGUUAUGGACAACUUGAGUAUCUAGUACUUGGAUUAUCAUUUGAAUCUUGUCACCAUGUUACUUUUAAUUAAUUUUGUUGGGUUAUUGAUGACACUUAAUUGGGAUUGAGAUGCUGUCAACCAUCUCAAUGUUUCACAACCACCAUGAUAGUUAAAUAAACCUUUGAAGUAGGAAAAAAUUGGCUUUUCGCAAAAACUUAACUGUAGAGCUUUCCACCAGCCAUACAUGCAUGUAGUAUAGCAUUAUCAUUGUUCAUUAUUCUCUAUGUGUUACUUUGCCAGCAUAUUCUAUGUGCUGACCCGUUUUUCGGGCUGCAACGUUUCAUGUUGCAGACUUUUCAGACGAUGAGUAAGGUGCCUUAGGUCGUGGUCUUAUACUCAGUGAUGCCGCUGGAGUUGAUGGACUCACUUAUCUUCCAAGUCUUCCGCUGUUAUCGUAUUUAGAUGGCCUUAAGCCAUAUUUAUCAUACUUGUUCUCUUUGGAGAUAUUCGAUGUAAUAAGUGUGUGAUUGCUACUCUUUUAUAAAUCCUCCAUUUGUACUGUGCAUGUCAGCAUUACUGAUCCAGGGAUGACACUGGUGCACAGCAGCACAGACCAUUUGAGGUCUGGUCGCUACAAGUAUGCACCGUUGCUACAGUUCGUCAUGCCGAGACACCACGUGAUGAUCGGGUGUUAUAAGCUCUACGUUCACAUACAACGGGUGCAAGCCAGUUUUGCACGUGAAAAAUACUCGGGUUAAACUUGACGAGCCUAGCAUAUGCAGAUAUGGCCUCGGAACACUGAGACUGUAAGGUCGAACGUGAAUCAUAUAGUAGAUAUGAUCAACAUAGAGAUGUUCACCAUUGAAAACUACUCCAUCUCACGUGAUGAUCGGACAUGGUUUAGUUGAUAUGGAUCACGUGAUCAUUUAGAAGACUAGAGGGAUGUCUAUCUAAGUGGGAGUUCUUAAGUAGUAUUAUUAAUUGAACUUUAAUUUAUCAUGAACUUAGUACCUGAUAGUUUUUUGCAGAUCUAUGUUGUUGUAGAUCAAUGGCCUGUGCUACCGUUCCCUUAAAUUUUAAUGCGUUCCUAGAGAAAACAAAGUUGAAAGAUGAUAGUAGCUGUGAUGCGGACUAGGUCCGUGAUCUGAGGAUUAUCCUCAUUGCUGCAUAGAAGAAUUAUGUCCUUGAUGCACCGCUAGGUGACAUAACUAUUGUAGGAGCAAAUGCAGACGUUAUGAACGUUUGACAAGCUCGGUAUGAUGACUACUUGAUAGUUUAGUGCACCAUGCUUUACGGCUUAGAACCGGGACUUCAAAAAAUGUUUUGAACAACAUGGAGCAUAUGAGAUGUUCCAAGAGUUGAAAUUGGUAUUUCAGACUCAUGCCCGUGUUAAGAGGUAUGAGACCUCUGACAAAGUACUUUGCCUACAAGAUGGAGGAGAAUAGCUAAGCUAGUGAGCAUAUGCUCAGAAUGUCUGGGUACUACAAUCGCUUGAAUCAAGUGGGAGUUAAUCUUCCAAAUAAGAUAGUGAUUGACAAAGUUCUCUAGUCACUAUCACCAAGUUACUAGAACUUCGUGAUGAACUAUAAUAGUCGAGGGAUGACGAAAACGAUUCCCAAGCUCUUCACAAUGCUGAAAUUAGCAAAGGUAGAAAUCAAGAAAAAUCAUCAAGUGUUGAUGGUUAACAAGACCACUAGUUUCAAGAAAAGGGCAAGGGAAAGAAAGGGAAAACUUCAAACGAAUGGCAAGAAAGUUGCCACUCCCAUGAAGAAGCCCAAAGCCAGACCCAAGCCUGAAACUGAGUGCUUCUACUGCAAAAGCAAUGGUCACUGGAAGUGAACUGCCCUAGAUACUUGGCCGAUAAGAAGGAUGGCAAAGUGAACAAAGGUAUAUUUGAUAUACAUAUUAUUGAUGUGUACUUUACUAGUGUUUAUAGCAACCCCUCGGUAUUUGAUACUGGUUCAGUUGCUACGAGUAGUAACUUGAAAUAGGAGUUGCAAGAUAAAUAGAUAGUAGUUAAGGACGAGGUGACGAUGUGUGUUGGCAGUAAUUCCAAGGUUGAUACGAUCACCAUCGCACACUCCCUAUACCUUCGGGAUUAGAAUUGAACCUAAAUAAAUGUUAUUUGGUGUUUGUGUUGAGCAUUAAUAUGAUUAGAUCAUGUUUAUUGCAAUAAGGUUAUUCAUUUAAGUCAGAGAAUAAUUGUUUUUCUGUUUAUAUGAAUAAGACCUUCUAUGGUCAUACACCCAAUGUGAAUGUUUUAUUGAAUCUCGAUCGUAGUGAUACACAUAUUGAUAAUAUUGAUGCCAAAAGAUGCAAAGUUUAUAAUGAUAGUGCAACAUAUUUGUGGCACUGCCGUUUAGGUCAUAUUGGUGUAAAGCGGAUGAAGAAACUCCAUGUUGAUGGGCUUUUGGAAUCACUUGACUAUAAAUGACUUGAUGCUUGCGAACCAUGCCUCGUGGGCAAGAUGACUAAGACUCCAUUCUCCGGAACAAUGGAGCGAGCAACUGACUUAUUGGAAAUAAUACAUACUGGUGUAUGUGGUCCAAUGAGUGUUGAGGCUCGCGGCGGGUAUCGUUAUUUUCUGACCUUCACAGAUGAUUUGAGCAGAUAUGGGUAUAUCUACUUAAUGAAACAUAAGUCUGAAACAUUUGAAAAGAAUUUCAGAGUGAAGUAGAAAAUCAUCGUAACAAGAAAAUAAAGUUUCUACGAUCUGAUCGUGGAGGUGAAUAUUUGAGUUAUGAGAUUGGUCUUCAUUUGAAACAAUGUGGAAUAGUUUCGCAACUCAUGCCACUUGGAACACCACAGCGUAAUGGUGUGUCCGAACGUCGUAACCGCACUUUAUUAGAUAUGGUGCGAUCUAUGAUGUCUCUUACCGAUUUACCACUAUCAUUUUGGGGUUAUGCAUUAGAGACAGCUGCAUUCACGUUAAAUAGGGCACCAUCUAAAUCCGUUGAGACGACACCGUAUGAACUGUGGUUUGGCAAGAAACCUAAGUUGUCGUUUCUUAAAGUUUGGGGCUGCGAUGCUUAUGUGAAAAAGCUUCAACCUGAUAAGCUCGAAUCCAAAUCGGAGAACUGCGUCUUCAUAGGAUACCCAAAAGAAACUGUUGGGUACACCUUCUAUCACAGAUCCGAAGGCAAGAUUUUUUGCUAAGAAUGGAUCCUUUCUAGAGCAGGAGUUUCUCUCGAAAGAAGUGAGUGGGAGGAAAGUAGAACUUGAUGAGGUAGUUGUACCUUCUCUCGAGUUGGAAAGUAGUUCAUCACAGAAAUCAGUUCCAGUGAUGCCUACACCAAUUAGCGAGGAAGUUAAUGCUGAUGAUCAUGAAACUUCAUAUCAAGUUACUACCAAACCUCGUAGGUCAAACAGAGUACGUUCCGCACCAGAGUGGUACGGUAAUCCUGUUCUGGAAGUCAUGUUACUAGACCAUGACGAACCUACCAACUAUGAGGAAGCGAUGAUGAGCCCAGAUUCUGCGAAAUGGCUUGAGGCCAUGAAAUCUGAGAUGGGAUCCAUGUAUGAGAACAAAGUGUGGACUUUGGUUGACUUGCCCGAUGAUUGGCAAGCAAUAGAGAAUAAAUGGAUCUUCAAGAAGAAGACUGACGCUGAAGGUAAUAUUACUGUCUACAAAGCUCGACUUGUCGCAAAAGGUUUUCGACAAGUUCAAGGUGUUGCCUACUAUGAGAUUUUCUCACUCGUAGCGAUGCUUAAGUCUGUCCGAAUCAUGUUAGCAAUUGUCACAUUUUAUGAAAUCUGACAAAUGGAUGUCAAAACUGCAUUCCUUAAUGGAUUUCUUAAAUAAGAGUUGUAUAUGAUGCAACAAGAAGGUUUUGUCAAUCCUAAAAGUGCUAACAAAAUGCGCAAGCUCCAGCGAUCCAUCUAUGGACUGGUGCAAGCAUCUCGGAGUUGGAAUAUACGCUUUGAUGAGUUGAUCAAAGCAUAUAAUUUUAUACAGACUUGCGGUGAAGCCUGUAUUUACAAGAAAGUGAGUGGGAGCUCCGUAGCAUUUCUAAUAUUAUAUGUAGAUGACAUAUUUUUAAUUGGAAAUGAUACAGAAUUUCUGGAUAGCAUAAAAGGAUAUUUGAAUAAGAAUUUUUCAAUAAAAGACCUCGGUGAAGCUGCUUAUAUAUUGGGCAUCAAGAUCUAUAGAGAUAGAUCAAGACACUUAAUUGGACUUUCACAAAGCACAUACCUUGAUAAAGUUUUGAAGAAGUUCAAAAUGGAUCAGUCAAAGAAAGGAUUCUUGCCUGUAUUACAAGGUGUGAAAUUGAGUCAGACUCAAUGCCCGACCACUGUAGAAGAUAGAGAGAAAAUAAAAGUCAUUCCCUAUGCCUCAGCCAUAGGUUCUAUCAUGUAUGCAAUGAUAUGUACCAGACCUGAUGUGUGCCUUGCUAUAAGUUUAGCAGGGAGGUACCAAAGUAAUCCAGGAGUGGAUCACUGGACAACGGUCAAGAACAUCCUGAAAUACCUGAAAAGGACUAAGGAUAUGUUUCUCGUUUAUGGAGGUGACAAAGAGCUCGUCGUAAACGGUGACACUGAUCCAGAUGACUCUAAGUCACAAACCGGAUACGUAUUUAUAUUGAAUGGUGGAGCUGUCAGUUGGUGCAGUUCCAAGAAGAGCGUCGUGGCGGGAUCUACGUGUGAAGUGGAGUACAUAACUGCUUCGGAAGCAGCAAAUGAAGGAGUCUGGAUGAAGGAGUUAAUAUCUGUUCUAGGUGUAAUACUAGUGCAUCGGGUCCAAUGUAAAUCUUUUGUGACAAUACUGGAGCAAUUGCCAUGGCGAAGGAAUCCAGAUUUCACAAGAGAACCAAACACAUCAAGAGACGCUUCAAUUCCAUCCACGAUCAAGUCAAGGAGGGAGACAUAGAGAUUUGCAAAAUACAUACGGAUCUGAAUGUUGCAGAACCGUUGACUAAGCCUCUUCCAUGAGCAAAACAUGAUCAGCACCAAGACUCCAUGGGUGUUAGAAUCAUUACUAUGUAAUCUAGAUUAUUGACUCUAGUGCAAGUGGGAGACUGAAGAAAAUAUGCCCUAGAGGCAAUAAUAAAGUUGUUAUUUAUAUUUCCUUAUAUCAUGAUAAAUGUUUAUUAUUCAUGCUAGAAUUGUAUUAACCAAAAACUUAGUACAUGUGUGAAUACACAGACAAAAUAGAGUGUCCCUAGUAUGCCUCGACUUGACUAGCUCGUUAAUCAAAGAUGGUUAAGUUUCCUGACCAUUGCUACCUCUUGAGCACUACGUUGGUUUUCCCUUGAAGAGGAAAGGGUGAUGCAGCAAAGUAGCGUAAGUAUUUCCCUCAGUUUUUGAGAACCAAGGUAUCAAUCCAGUACGAGACCACGCUCAAGUCCCACGCACCUACACAAACAAAUAUGAACCUUGCAACCAACGCGAUAAAGGGGUUGUCAAUCCCUUCACGGCCACUUGCAAAAGUGAGAUCUGAUAGAGAAGAUAAGAUGAUAUUUUUGGUACUUUUAUAAUAAAGACUAAAAGUAAAGAAAGCAAAAAAUAAACGGCGCAAGAAAUAGCUAGUUGACGGGAGAUUAAUAUGAUGGAGAAUAGACCCGGGGGCCAUAGGUUUCACUAGUGGCUUCUCUCAAGAGCAUAAGUAUUACGGUGGGUAAACGAAUUACUAUCGAGCAAUUGAUAGAAUUGAGCAUAGUUAUGAGAAUAUCUAGGUAUGAUCAUGUAUAUAGGCAUCACGUCCGUGAAAAGUAGACCGACUCCUGCCUACAUCUACUACUAUUACUCCACACAUCGACCGCUAUCCAGCAUGCAUCUAGAGUAUUAAGUUCAUAAGAACGGAGUAACGCUUUAAGCAAGAUGACAUGAUGUAGAGGGAUAAACUCAUGCAAUAUGAUAUAAACCCCAUCUUUUUAUCCUCGAUGGAAACAAUACAAUACGUGUCGUUUCCCCUGCUGUCACUGGGAUCGAGCACCUCAAGAUUGAACCCAAAGCUAAGCACUUCUCCCAUUGCAAGAUAGGUCAAUCUAGUAGGCCAAACCAAACUGAUAAUUCGAAGAGACUUGCAAAGAUAACCAAUCAUACAUAAAAGAAUUCAGAGGAGAUUCAAAUAUUGUUCAUAGAUAAUCUUGAUCAUAAACCCACAAUUCAUUAGAUCUCGACAAACACACCGCAAAAUAAGAUUACAUCGAAUAGAUCCCCAAGAGAAUCGAGGAGAACUUUGUAUUGAGAUCCAAAGAGAGAGAAGAAGCCAUCUAGCUAAGAACUAUGGACCCGAAGGUCUGAGGUAAACUACUCACACAUCAUCGGAGUGGCUAUGGUGUUGAUGUAGAAGCCCUCCGUGAUCAAUGCCCCCUCCGGCGGAGCGCCGGAAAAGGCCCCAAGAUGGGAUCUCAUGGGUACAGAAGGUUGCGGCGGUGGAAAUAGGGUUUUGGCUCCGUCUAUGAUGUUUUCGGGGUACGUAGGUAUAUAUAGGAGGAAGAAGUAGGUCGGUGGAGCUGUGAGGGGCCCACGAGGGUGGAGGGUGCGCCCCCCUGCCUCGUGGCUUCCUCGUCGGUUGCUUGAUGUCCACUCCAAGUCCUCUGGAUCACGUUUGUUCAGAAAAUCACGUUCCCGAAGGUUUCAUUCCGUUUGGACUCCGUUUGAUAUUCCUUUUCUGUGAAACACUGAAAUAGGCAAAAAACAGCAAUUUGGGCUGGGCCUCCGGUUAAUAGGUUAGUCCCAAAAAUAAUAUAAAAGUGUAUAAUAAAGCCCAUUAAACAUCCAAAAUAGAAUAUAAUAUAGCAUGGAACAAUAAAAAAUUAUAGAUACGUUGGAGACGUAUCAAGCAUCCCCAAGCUUAAUUCCUGCUCGUCCUCGAGUAGGUAAAUGAUAAAAACAGAAUUUUUGAUGUGGAAUGCUACUUAGCAUAAUUUUCCUCUUAUUUGUGGUAUGAAUGUUCAGAUCCGAAAGAUUCAAGAUAAAAGUUUAAUAUUGACAUAAAAGUAAUAAUACUUCAAGCAUACUAACAAAGCAAUCAUGUCUUCUCAAAAUAACAUGGCCAAAGAAAGUUAUCCCUACAAAAUCAUAUAGUCUGGCUAUUGUGACGCCCCCAAUUUGACCGUACACUAAUCAUGCACGCAAAUGUGUACGAUCAAGAUUAGGGACUCACGAGAAGAUAUCACAACACAACUCUAAAACAUAAAUAAGUCAUACAAGCAUCAUAAUACAAGCCAGGGCCCUCGAGGGCUCGAAUACAAGUGCUCGAUCAUAGACGAGUCAGCAGAAGCAACAAUAUCUGAGUACAGACAUAAGUUAAACAAGUUUUCCUUAAGAAGGCUAGCACAAAAGUAGCAACGAUCGAAAAGGCAAGGCCUCCUGCCUGGGACCUCCUAACUACUAUUGUUAAAAGCAGGAAGGCGCUAACAUUUGCACGGUCAAGAUAGCAAAGUAUGUCAGAGGAUAGCCUGUCAGUUUUGUUGGAAACAAUGUUGGUACCAAGGGCGAGGGACGAAGAGAACCAUUUUCUUGCUCGUUGAAACGAGGCGGACCAAUAGGCAAGGUUCUCGUCCAUCGGUGAUUACCGGAAUGUCAUCAACAAUAGUAACAGGGUCUUACUGACAUAGUGGUACAACAAGGUGCUUCCCUAAGCAGGGAAUUAUCACUGCUCAGCUAAGUCAGAUUACAAGAGACGUUAAUCCAAACAAUGGAAAGGAAAAUGUGAUUAUCAGAUUAAACAGAACAAUGGAAAGGAAAAUGUGUUAAAACACAUAUUUCAGGGGUAUAUCCUUCCCAAGGACAAGCAGAGCAUGAUAUCCAUGAGAGGAUAUAAUGUAGAAAACCCCUUAGGAAAGGGGAGAGAAAUUUCAUGACAUUACCCAUACAACGGUGUUUGGAUAAUUGAGCAAGAAACAUUUAGCAUUAGGCUUCAAAUGUUCUUGUUGAAAAUCGAAGUACCAUAGACAUGCUUCGAGAUAGCAUUGACAUGGUCAUCAUGUAAAGGUCGGACUUUGGAUACACAAAGGAUCCAUCAGAAUCAACUUAUAGAAUAAGUCUUACGAUUUUUUCAUGGAAGAAUGAUUAACCUUGCUAAAAAGGAAGCUAUAACAAUAGGUCCUCCAGCCAGGUGUGCAUGCCAUGACAUCAUCUUACCGGGUUAUAUAAAGGCAAAUGUUAUAACUCUUGGAUAUAUGUUCCAACCAUCAUAUCUGACCAAGAUUCAGAUCUGAUUGGUGUCAGGAUACCUCAGACUCUGGAUGCUUGAAAAGAAAAGGUGCAACACCAAUUGACGAAUUAACGUUGCAAGAUUCUCGGGAAAUGGUGUCCAGAAGCAAGGCUCUGAAACAAGGGUUCAUCAUUAAACCAAGGAGAGGAUGAUGAGGUGGCUGAUGGGCUAAGGACAAUUCAUCGAGAUUUCCAAAAGAUGGAUUUACACAAUUACGUGAACAAGGAGAUAACAUUCGUCAGAUCAAAUGAUAUAAUGACUUAUGCUAGAGGGAAACAUACACAAUCAAACAUUGGUUGAAAUGUGCGCCCGAAAUAUGGGCAUAGGUAGCAUGAUAAAUGUUAGAAUGGUGAUUCGAUAACCAAUGGUCUAAGAAUGAAAUGUCAACAAUAACUUCAAAGCAAUAGGGUUGCUAGAAGUUUUGAAGUCACACAUCAUAGUUCGAUUGUCGGUUUUUCGGUUAAAAAUAACACGGGGACCAAGGAAUGAACGGAUAUGGCAAAAGGUAUCACCUGCAUCAAGAAUUCUUAAGAGGUGGUGAAAUUCUCACGACAUUCUUGACAUAAAAGAUGGUAAUACUCCAAGGUAAAGAAGAACAAAUGCUGGAUAGCAAGGAUCUCAAGGUAUAACACAAAACACGAACAAGUUGGUGUUGAACGGAAGGCAAUCGAGUGGUCGAUGAUAACACAAAUCAUCAAGGGCAAGGAUGGUAUUUCUCAUCAUGAAUUCAAUUGAUAUCCUGGAAGAGCUUAGAAUGCUGAUGAUGAUCACGACACAUUUGUCGAGAGAUUUCAUGAAGAUGUAAUCGAUCGGCGAUGACAUCAAGUGAAAGGAAUUAUGAAGCAAAAGGUUAUUGAAACCAUGGGUACGACACAAACUCGAAACCAAGCUCGUUGUUCAAGGCGAAAGGAUAUGACAAGGAAGAGCGGCGUAAGCUUAACUCAUUGUCAAAAAUUGUGCUGUGGGAAGAAGGACCGGAUAGCACAGUUAAAAUUUAACAUGGUAAUGAUAUAGCCGAUCAGGCUUGGGAUGACUUGAAGGAUUAUUAAACUCGUAAGCAACGAAAAUUACUUAGAGUUAUUGAAUCAGAGUGCGGACUCGAUUCACUAUUUUGUGUUCUCGAGUGUCUAACAACUCAGAACCCGGGGAAAAUUGGAAUCGGUGAGAAAUAAUACUUGAAGAACUCAUAAGAAGUAAUAUGGUUCUGUGCUAUUAUCGAGAUACCAUGGGGUAAUACUCGAAGGUAGAUCAUAAUAGAGGUUGGACGGGUGCAUUGAUCUGCAGAGGACAAGUGGUUCAACUUGUCCGAGAAAAGGAUCAAAGAUGACCAAUCAUGGUCGGAACCACGGUUGCAAAGGACCAACAUAGAUACAAGAUGAACUUAUAACAAGGGGACCAUUAUUAAUACAAGAAGCUUCCAUGAUAGAUUCCACAUCGGGUCCAUGGGCAUGAACACAAAGUCCAAGGUCGACUCCCACUUCUUCAAUGCAUAACCUUUCAUUCACUUCUCGUGUUUGAUGAAGUUGCAGUGUUGAAAAUUUUUAUCUGGCAAAAUACCAGAAGAGUAUGACUCAUGAAAACUUUCGAGUUCACACAUAUUAUGAAAGGCAUAGGUUCAACCCAUCGGGGCAUCGUGGAAACAUAUACCACAAGCUUCAGGGGUAAAUAACUCAAGCUCGAUAGUAGAGCAUGGGUGUCAAAACGAGAGGAUACAAUUUACUAAAGGCAUUAUGUAUCAGGGAAAGAACUCACAAGGUGAUUAAAUAUGAGGGCACUGUCGGAUAAUAAUCUAACAAAGGAUUUGGUGGUCCACAAGGGAUCAGAUGUGAGCAUCGGUACUCAACUAGAGGAAGAAAGAAUGCAAGGGGAUCAGAUUAUAGAAACAACUGGCUAACUCAAAGCUCAAAUGCAAAGGAAUUUAUGAUUUCCAAAUCAAGGGAUCAAAAGCAAACGCUCUGAUUAAGGAUGGAUAAGAUGAAUAGCCUUAGGGGUACAAUCGAUGGCAAUUUGAUUGGUCGAUACCAGCUCAUGUUUAAAAUGACGUUUGAGCCAGAAGGAAGAAUUCUAGGAUCUGAUUGAGGAUUGUGAGCAUUCGCAACAGAUUGAAUCAACGGACUCAAAAUGAUAAUGACAAGAGAUGCCAAUAGGAUUACGAGACUUAAGAUUAAUCAUAAUGCAAGUAAGCAAGAAUUUCAAGAGCAAAAGGCUCCUGAGGAUUUUCGGAAGAUCGAAUGGUAUUUUGAACACUUUUGUGAAAUACUUGAAUCAACUGGGAUGAGCGGAUACUCGGUAAGUGCGAGAAUUAUCCGUAGGGGUAUUCAGGUGACAAAGAACAGCAAGGUAGUAAGCUCAAAGGAUUCUCGGAACAACAGAGAGAAUUUCGGGGUAUCUUGUAAUAACAAGAUCAACUGGGAAACAUUGUAUGAAUGGCGAGUAUACGUGGUUAUCCAUAGGAGUUUAUCGAUGAAAGGGAAUUGCAAAAGCGAUGAACACAAGUUCUCGGGUUAUGAGCGGAGAGUAUCUUCAGGGUCUUCACGUGCAGCAGACGAUCAUCAGUAAUAAGGGGCUCUCCGGGUGAAAGUGAUAACGAGAUCCUAAUGUUAGAUUUAGCAAAAUUCAUUUAACCCAAAUAGGAGAGAGAUGAGAGUCCCAGAGUAAAGGUCGAGGAGUAAAAGAUCCUAGUACCACCCAAUGGCGACGUGGGCACGUAAGACACACAGCCAUGUUAGUAAAAGUUUUGCAAUGUCUAGACUCGACUUCGGCCAAGGAGUGUGGAAGGGGGAUUCCUACAGGCAGUCGGCUCUGAUACCAACUUGUGACGCCCCCGAUUUGACCGUACACUAAUCAUGCACGCAAAUGUGUGCGACCAAGAUCAGGGACUCACGAGAAGAUACCACAACACAACUCUAAAACAUAAAUAAGUCAUACAAGCAUCAUAAUACAAGCCAGGGCCCUCGAGGGCUCGAAUACAAGUGCUCGAUCAUAGACGAGUCAGCAGAAGCAACAAUAUCUGAGUACAGAGAUAAGUUAAACAAGUUUGCGUUAAGAAGGCUAGCACAAAAGUAGCAACGAUCGAAAAGGCAAGGCCUCCUGCCUGGGACCUCCUAACUACUCCUCGAAGCCGAACUCCACGUAGAAUCAUCCUCGGGAUCUCUAGCUCCUGGACUCCAGCAUCUGGUUGCGACAAUCCGGUAUAGAAAGGGGAAAAGAGGGAGAAAAGCAACCGUGAGUAGUCAUCCAAAGUACUCGCAAGCAAGGAGCUACACUACAUAUGCAUGGGUAUAUGUGUAAAGGGCCAUAUCAGUGGACUGAACUGCAGAAUGCCAGAAUAAGAGGGGGAUAGCUAAUCCUGUCGAAGACUACGCUUCUGGCAGCCUCCAUCUUGCAGCAUGUAGAAGAGAGUAGAUUGAAGUCCUCCAAGUAGCAUCGUAUAGCAUAAACCUACCCAGCGAUCCCCUCCUCGUCGCCCUGUUAGAGAGCGAUCACCGGGUUAUAUCUGGCACUUGGAAGGGUGUGUUUUAUUAAGUAUCCAGUUCUAGUUGUCAUAAGGUCAAGGUACAACUCCGGGUCGUCCUUUUACCGAGGGACACGGCUAUUCGAAUAGAUAAACUUCCCUGCAGGGGUGCACCACAUAACCCAACACGCUCGAUCCCAUUUGGCCGGACACACUUUCCUGGGUCAUGCCCGGCCUCGGAAGAUCAACACGUCGCAACCCCACCUAGGCUCAACAGAGAGGUCAGCACGCCGGUCUAAACCCUAUGCGCGCAGGGGUCUGGGCCCAUCGCCCAUUGUACACCUGCACGUUGCGUACGCGGCCGGAAGCAGACCUAGCCCCCUUAAUACAAGCGCGAGCUUACGGUCCAAUGCGGCGCGCGCCACUCAGUCGCUGACGUCAAAAAGAGCUUCGACUGAUACCACGACGUCGAGUGCCCAUAACUAUUCCCGCGUAGUUGGUUAGUGCGUAUAGACCAAAUGGCCAGACUCAGAUCAAAUACCAAGAUCCCGUUAAGCGUGUUAAGUAUGCGCGAACGCCGACCAGGGCCAGGCCCACCUCUCUCCUAGGUGGUCUCAACCUGCCCUGUCGCUCCGCCACAAAGUAACAGUCGGGGGCCGUCAGGAACCCAGGCCCACCUCUACCGGGAUGGAGCCACCUGUCCUUUCAGCCCCCUCAUCAGAAUCACUUGCGGGUACUCCUCGAGCCGACCCGACUUUAGUCACCACAUGUAUCAUGUAUAAAGUACAUAGUAUAUACCCGUGAUCACCUCCCGAAGUGAUCACGGCCCAGUAGUAUAGCAUGGCAGACGGACAAGAGUGUAGGGACACUGAUGGAACACUAGCAUCCUAUACUAAGCAGUAGGAUAGCAGGUAAGGGUAACAACUGUAGCAACAAUGACAGGCUAUGCAUCAGUAUAGGAUUAACCGAAAGCAGUAACAUGCUACACUACUCUAAUGCAAGCAGUAUAUAGAAGGAAUAGGCGAUAUCUGGUGAUCAAGGGGGGGCUUGCCUGGAAGCUUUGUUGUACAUGAAGAAGGGUCGUCGGUGACGUAGUCGUGCUCAGCGGCAUCAGCGCCGGUCUCGGGGUCUACCGGAGAAGAAGAGGGGGAAGAAACAGUAAAUACAGAGCAAACAAAGCAUCACAAAACAUAACAUGGCAAUACGCGGUGCUAGGUAUGCUCUAACGCGGUGGAAGGUGAUACCGACGAAGGGGGAAACAUCCGGGAAAAUAUCCCCGGCGUUUCGCGUUUUCGGACAGAUGAAUCGGAGGGGAAAAGUUGCGAGUUUGCUAUGCUAGGGAUGUGUGGCGGACGAACGGGCUGCGUAUCCGGAAUUGUCUCGUCGUUCUGAGCAACUUUCAUGUACAAAGUUUUUUCAUCCGAGCUACGGAUUAUUUUAUAUUAAUUUAUAAAGAUUUAAUUUAUUUCUAGAAUUAAUUUAAUUAGAAAAGUAAUUAUGACGUCAGCGUGAGGUCAGCAUGAUGUCAUCAGUCAACCAUGUGUUGACUGGGUCAACAGACGCGUGGGUCCCGUUUGUCAUAGUCUCAGGUGGGUCCCGUGGGUCAACAGUAGUUAGUUUUUAUUAAUUGAAUAAUUAGUUUUAAUUAUUUAAUUAAACAGAUUAAUUAAGUUAAUUAACUAAAUUUUAUUAUUAUUAUUUUUAUAACUUUAUUUUUCCUUUAAAAAAAACAAGUUUCCAGGGGGGGCCACUGUCAGUGGCCCUAGGGCCAAAGGGGGCGGUUCGGGCGCUGGUGCCCGACAGGGCGCCUGGGGAGGGGGCGCUGGCGAGGCUCGAAGCGGGGCGAGGCCGUGGUGGUGCGCGGGCGGCCGCCGGAGGCCGUGCNNNNNNNNNNNNNNNNNNNNNNNNNNNNNNNNNNNNNNNNNNNNNNNNNNNNNNNNNNNNNNNNNNNNNNNNNNNNNNNNNNNNNNNNNNNNNNNNNNNNNNNNNNNNNNNNNNNNNNNNNNNNNNNNNNNNNNNNNNNNNNNNNNNNNNNNNNNNNNNNNNNNNNNNNNNNNNNNNNNNNNNNNNNNNNNNNNNNNNNNNNNNNNNNNNNNNNNNNNNNNNNNNNNNNNNNNNNNNNNNNNNNNNNNNNNNNNNNNNNNNNNNNNNNNNNNNNNNNNNNNNNNNNNNNNNNNNNNNNNNNNNNNNNNNNNNNNNNNNNNNNNNNNNNNNNNNNNNNNNNNNNNNNNNNNNNNNNNNNNNNNNNNNNNNNNNNNNNNNNNNNNNNNNNNGGAGGCCGUGCGGGUGGCAGCCGGAGGUGGCGCUCGGCUGCGGCCCAGCGGGAGCUGCGGCAGUGGCCGCCGGGAGGCUAGGCCGAAGCCGCAGGGGGAGGCGGGCGGUGACCGAAGGUGACGGCGAGCGGGACAGGGGCGGCCAGCGGUAGGAGCGGGAUGCGGCCACCACAGGAGGGCAGAGAGGGAGCACGAGGCGUGCUCACGUUCGUUGUAGGGAAGAGGGCGGCGUCGCUCGAUGGUGUCCGGCGAGGAGGAGGAUGGGGACGAGCGACGUAGACGGGGAGGCAGCGCCAACGACGGCGGAUGGCGGGGUGGCUCCAGCGGGGGUCGUCCGGCGUCGGCGCAGGUCGUCGGGGGCGUCGAUUGCCCCCGACCGGAUCCACGCAAAAGGGGGUUGAGGAGGCGGGCGACGACGGGGCAGCGCCGGGCGGCGUCGGUGAGGUGGCGGUGGUUGGCGACGGUGGUGGUCGAGGCGGAGGCGCUUCCGGGCGGCGGCGACGUCGUCCAGCGUUGGUGGCGGGGCGAUGGCGACGGGGGCGACGAAGCGACGGCGUCGCGGGCGGCGACGUGGUGGUGGCGACGGGCGUCGGGGGCGAUGGGGUCAAGCCCUCGAUCUCGAUCCAGAUCGUGGGGGGGAGUGUGCGGUCUGGGUGGGGUUAGGGUUACGGGGUCCAGGGGAUAAUGNNNNNNNNNNNNNNNNNNNNNNNNNNNNNNNNNNNNNNNNNNNNNNNNNNNNNNNNNNNNNNNNNNNNNNNNNNNNNNNNNNNNNNNNNNNNNNNNNNNNNNNNNNNNNNNNNNNNNNNNNNNNNNNNNNNNNNNNNNNNNNNNNNNNNNNNNNNNNNNNNNNNNNNNNNNNNNNNNNNNNNNNNNNNNNNNNNNNNNNNNNNNNNNNNNNNNNNNNNNNNNNNNNNNNNNNNNNNNNNNNNNNNNNNNNNNNNGGGCUUCUCUCUUUUAUUUUUGUGUUUACUUUCUUUUAAAAUUUUGUUUCUGUUCAUUUACUUUCCCUAUAGUUUUCAAUUUAUUUUAGUUUCAAAAAUACAAAAACAACUCCUAAAUCAGUAUAGCUUAAUAUACCACUGCCACAUUUAAUUAUGGCACCCAAGUAAAAUAGUUUAACAUUUUAUUAAUUCUAAAAAGGCAUUAUCUAAUUGAUUAAGCCACUGUUUUAAUUAUUUUAGUGCCUUUAAUUAUUUUAUAAAAAUGUGGGUUCUCCCCAUUAUUACUAAGGAUUUAUUUGUAACAUUUAGCACAUUUUAGUUUUUAUGUUUGAAAUUUUUUAUCGUUUGACUUUAAUUCAAAUUUGAAUUUGAAUCGGUUUCGAACUAACGCGAGAUUAACAACAAUAACCGAGGUGACGUGGCAUCAUUAGCAGAGGGUUACUGUAGCUUAAUUAUCCGGGCGUCACAGCUAUGCUCUAUCUUCCCCACACAAAGUAUUUAAAUCAUGCACAACCCCGAUGACAAGCCAAGCAAUUGUUUCAUACUUUUUAUGUUCUCAAACUUUUUCAAUCUUCACGCAAUACAUGAGUGUGUGCCAUGGAUAUAGCGCUAUAGGUGGAGUAGAAUGGUGGUUGUGGAGAAGACAAAAAGGAGAAGAUAGUCUCACAUCAACUAGGCGUAUCAACGGGCUAUGGAGAUGCCCAUUAAUAGAUAUCAAUGUGAGUGAGUAGGGAUUGCCAUGCAACGGAUGCACUAGAGCUAUAAGUGUAUGAAAGCUCAACAAAAGAAACUAAGUGGGUGUGCAUCCAACUCGCUUGCUCAUGAAGACCUAGGGCAAUUUAAGGAAGCUCAUCAUUGGAAUAUACAAGCCAAGUUCUAUAAUGUAAAAUUCCCACUAGUAUAUGAAAGUGACAUCAUACGAGACUCUCUAUCAAUGAAGAUCAUGGUGCUACUUUGAAGCACAAGUGUGGAAAAAGGAUAGUAGCAUUGUCCCUUCUCUCUUUUCUCUCAUUUUUUUGUUGGGCCUUCUCCUUCUUUUUUAUGGCCUCUUUUUUUUGUCUGGAGUCUCAUCCCGACUUGUGGGGGAAUCAUAGUCUCCAUCAUCCUAUCCUCACUUGGGACUAUGCUCUAAUAAUGAUGAUCAUCACACUUUUAUUUACUUACAACUCAAGUAUUACAACUCAAUACUUAGAACAAAAUAUGACUCUAUAUGAAUGCCUCCAGCGGUGUACCGGGAUAUGCAAUGAACCAGGAGUGACAUGUAUGAAGAUAAGGAACGGUGGCUUUGCCACAAAUACGAUGUCAACUACAUGAUCAUGCAAAGCAAGAUGACAAUGAUGGAGCGUGUCAUAGUAAACGGAACAGUGGUAAGUUGCAUGGCAAUAUAUCUCGGAAUGGCUAUGGAAAUGCCAUGAUAGGUAGAUAUGGUGGCUGUUUUGAGGAAGGUAUAUGGUGGUUGUAUGAUACCGGCGAAAAGUGCGUGGUAUUAGAGAGGCUAGCAAUGGUGGAAGGAUGAGAGUGCGUAUAAUCCAUGGACUCAACAUUAGUCAUAAAGAACGCAUAUACUUGUUGCAAAAAUCUAUUAGUUAUCGAAACAAAGUAUUACGCGCAUGCUCCUAGGGGGAUAGAUUGGUAGGAAAAGACCAUCACUCGUCCCCUACCGCCACUCAUAAGGAAGACAAUCAAUAAAUAAAUCAUGUUCCGACUUCAUCACAUAACGGUUCACCAUACGUGCAUGCUACGGGAAUCACAAACUUUAACACAAGUAUUUCUCAAAUUCAUAACCACUCAACUAGCAUGACUCUAAUAUCACCAUCUUCAUAUCUCAAAACAAUUAUCAAGCAUCAAACUUCUCUUAGUAUUCAACGCACUUAUAAGAAAGUUUUUACUAAUCUUGGAUGCAUAUCAUAUUAGGACUAAUUUCACAACUUAAGCAAAUUACCAUGCUGUUUUGUAGGACUCUCAAAAUAAUAUAAGUGAAGCAUGAGAGAACAAUAGUUUCUAUAAAACAAAACCACCACCGUGCUCUAAAAGAUAUAACUGAAGCACUAGAGCAAAAACUAUAUUGCUCAAAAGAUAUAAGUGAAGCACAUAGAGUAUUCUAAUAAAUUCCGAUUCAUGUGUGUCUCUCCCAAAAGGUUUGUACAGCAAGGAUGAUUGUGGUAAACUAAAAGCAAAGACUCAAAUCAUACAAGACGCUCCAAGCUAAACACAUAUCAUGUGGUGAAUAAAAAUAUAGCUCCAAGUAAAGUUAUCGAUGGACGAAGACGAAAGAGGGGAUGCCUUCCGGGGCAUCCCCAAGCUUUGGAUUUUUGGUGUCCUUGGAUUUACCUUGGAGUGCCUUGGGCAUCCCCAAGCUUAGGCUCUUGACACUCCUUGUUCCAUAAUCCAUCAAAUCUUUACCCAAAACUUGAAAACUUCAAAACACAAAACUUAACAGAAAAUCUCGUGAGCUCCGUUAACGAAAGAAAACAAAAAACCACUUCAAGGUACUGUAAUGAACUCAUUCUUUAUUUGUACUGGUGUUAAACCUACUGUAUUCCAACUUCUCUAUGGUUUAUAAACUAUUUUACUAGCCAUAGAUUCAUCAAAAUGAGCAAACAACACACGAAAAACAGAAUCUGUCAAAAACAGAACAGUCUGUAGUAAUCUGUAACUAACGCAAACUUCUGGAACUCAAAAAAUUCUACCAAAAUAGGAAGACCUAGAUAAUUUGUUUAUUGAUCUACUUCAAUUGGAAUCAGUAUUUUAUCACGUUCUGGUGAUUUUAAACAAUUGUUUUUGUCAACAGAAAGUUUCUGGAAUUUUCAGCAAGAU